This is a long non-coding RNA of Malania oleifera, 484 nucleotides long. RefSeq lists it as uncharacterized. The record is from RefSeq and is a predicted model, not a curated record. The transcript is spliced from 3 exons. NCBI's taxonomy places the organism in Eukaryota, Viridiplantae, Streptophyta, Magnoliopsida, Santalales, Ximeniaceae.
ACGCUCAGAGAUGUAAAUUGAGAGAUUGCAGAACUUAAUUUGGUGGGGGUUAAAAAAUCAAAACCUCUCGCGGGUUCUCUCCAUUUCUCUGCAUAUUUGACUCUUCCCUUCACAGCCUAGGACGCACCGGAAAGAUUUGCUGCAGUUGAGUUUCUUGCCGUUGAGGGAUAUCCUGGCAUAACCCUUCUGAUGGCAUGGCUUUUGGAGUUUAGCCUUGGUUUGGCGAAGCCCACGAAUAUUUUACUGUUUCAGAGUCUUGUUGGAAAAACUAAUGGGCAUUGCAGUGAGGUCUCCUCUCAGGCUGAUAUGUGGAAGAAUUGACAGGAGAUGUUAAGAGUCUGUUUCCAUUGAAAAUCAGAAGUGCUGCUUUAUAACCUCCAUGUGAGAAGUUGGUUUGCUGUUCUAGCUUUGAUGCAUAUCACUAAAUUUUUCUGUAUUCUUGAGGAUUAAGAUGAAGAUAUUUUAAUAAAUAUAAACUUAUAUA